This 217-nucleotide long non-coding RNA is filed under the name Takifugu rubripes (torafugu). RNAcentral describes it as "lncRNA (ENSTRUG00000028601.1)". The record is from RNAcentral. Lineage: Eukaryota; Metazoa; Chordata; Actinopteri; Tetraodontiformes; Tetraodontidae.
CAUGACAGCACUGGUCGGCUGUCUGGGCUCCCAGUCUGCAAAUCCAAACAUGAAGGUCAGGACCUUGGUGAGUUUGUUCUGAGGCAAGAUAGGUAUCAUGGUGGAGGCUCACAGGAAAACACCACCGGCUCAGGAAUGACAACAAAACGAGCGUCCAAACAACUGGCAACAAAACGCUGACUUCAUAAAGUGUCCAAACAACUGACAACAAAAAAUA